RNAcentral lists this ribosomal RNA (2762 nucleotides) under Salmonella enterica subsp. enterica serovar Typhimurium. RNAcentral describes it as "bacterial LSU rRNA". It matches the Rfam family "Bacterial large subunit ribosomal RNA". The record is from RNAcentral. Lineage: Bacteria; Pseudomonadati; Pseudomonadota; Gammaproteobacteria; Enterobacterales; Enterobacteriaceae.
CCGAAUGGGGAAACCCAGUGUGAUUCGUCACACUAUCAUUAACUGAAUCCAUAGGUUAAUGAGGCGAACCGGGGGAACUGAAACAUCUAAGUACCCCGAGGAAAAGAAAUCAACCGAGAUUCCCCCAGUAGCGGCGAGCGAACGGGGAGGAGCCCAGAGCCUGAAUCAGCAUGUGUGUUAGUGGAAGCGUCUGGAAAGGCGCGCGAUACAGGGUGACAGCCCCGUACACAAAAGCGCAUGUGCUGUGAGCUCGAUGAGUAGGGCGGGACACGUGGUAUCCUGUCUGAAUAUGGGGGGACCAUCCUCCAAGGCUAAAUACUCCUGACUGACCGAUAGUGAACCAGUACCGUGAGGGAAAGGCGAAAAGAACCCCGGCGAGGGGAGUGAAAAAGAACCUGAAACCGUGUACGUACAAGCAGUGGGAGCNNNNNNNNNNNNNNNNNNNNNNNNNNNNNNNNGGGCGUUAAGUUGCAGGGUAUAGACCCGAAACCCGGUGAUCUAGCCAUGGGCAGGUUGAAGGUUGGGUAACACUAACUGGAGGACCGAACCGACUAAUGUUGAAAAAUUAGCGGAUGACCUGUGGCUGGGGGUGAAAGGCCAAUCAAACCGGGAGAUAGCUGGUUCUCCCCGAAAGCUAUUUAGGUAGCGCCUCGUGAAUUCAUCUCCGGGGGUAGAGCACUGUUUCGGCUAGGGGGCCAUCCCGGCUUACCAACCCGAUGCAAACUGCGAAUACCGGAGAAUGUUAUCACGGGAGACACACGGCGGGUGCUAACGUCCGUCGUGAAGAGGGAAACAACCCAGACCGCCAGCUAAGGUCCCAAAGUCAUGGUUAAGUGGGAAACGAUGUGGGAAGGCCCAGACAGCCAGGAUGUUGGCUUAGAAGCAGCCAUCAUUUAAAGAAAGCGUAAUAGCUCACUGGUCGAGUCGGCCUGCGCGGAAGAUGUAACGGGGCUAAACCAUGCACCGAAGCUGCGGCAGCGAACGUAUCACCCAAGACAACUUUACGGAGUUGACGAUUGACGGAGCGAAGCGACGUCAAAGCGUUCAUUAAAGUCGAGUUGGCUUAGGGAUACGUUCGUUGGGUAGGGGAGCGUUCUGUAAGCCUGUGAAGGUGUGUCGUGAGGCAUGCUGGAGGUAUCAGAAGUGCGAAUGCUGACAUAAGUAACGAUAAAGCGGGUGAAAAGCCCGCUCGCCGGAAGACCAAGGGUUCCUGUCCAACGUUAAUCGGGGCAGGGUGAGUCGACCCCUAAGGCGAGGCCGAAAGGCGUAGUCGAUGGGAAACGGGUUAAUAUUCCCGUACUUGGUGUUACUGCGAAGGGGGGACGGAGAAGGCUAUGUUGGCCGGGCGACGGUUGUCCCGGUUUAAGCGUGUAGGUGUGUGUUCCAGGUAAAUCCGGUUCACUUUAACACUGAGGCGUGACGACGAGGCACUACGGUGCUGAAGCAACAAAUGCCCUGCUUCCAGGAAAAGCCUCUAAGCAUCAGGUAACACGAAAUCGUACCCCAAACCGACACAGGUGGUCAGGUAGAGAAUACCAAGGCGCUUGAGAGAACUCGGGUGAAGGAACUAGGCAAAAUGGUGCCGUAACUUCGGGAGAAGGCACGCUGACACGUAGGUGAAGUGAUUUACUCAUGGAGCUGAAGUCAGUCGAAGAUACCAGCUGGCUGCAACUGUUUAUUAAAAACACAGCACUGUGCAAACACGAAAGUGGACGUAUACGGUGUGACGCCUGCCCGGUGCCGGAAGGUUAAUUGAUGGGGUCAGCGCAAGCGAAGCUCCUGAUCGAAGCCCCGGUAAACGGCGGCCGUAACUAUAACGGUCCUAAGGUAGCGAAAUUCCUUGUCGGGUAAGUUCCGACCUGCACGAAUGGCGUAAUGAUGGCCAGGCUGUCUCCACCCGAGACUCAGUGAAAUUGAACUCGCUGUGAAGAUGCAGUGUACCCGCGGCAAGACGGAAAGACCCCGUGAACCUUUACUAUAGCUUGACACUGAACAUUGAGCCUUGAUGUGUAGGAUAGGUGGGAGGCUUUGAAGUGUGGACGCCAGUCUGCAUGGAGCCGACCUUGAAAUACCACCCUUUAAUGUUUGAUGUUCUAACGUGGACCCGUAAUCCGGGUUGCGGACAGUGUCUGGUGGGUAGUUUGACUGGGGCGGUCUCCUCCUAAAGAGUAACGGAGGAGCACGAAGGUUGGCUAAUCCUGGUCGGACAUCAGGAGGUUAGUGCAAUGGCAUAAGCCAGCUUGACUGCGAGCGUGACGGCGCGAGCAGGUGCGAAAGCAGGUCAUAGUGAUCCGGUGGUUCUGAAUGGAAGGGCCAUCGCUCAACGGAUAAAAGGUACUCCGGGGAUAACAGGCUGAUACCGCCCAAGAGUUCAUAUCGACGGCGGUGUUUGGCACCUCGAUGUCGGCUCAUCACAUCCUGGGGCUGAAGUAGGUCCCAAGGGUAUGGCUGUUCGCCAUUUAAAGUGGUACGCGAGCUGGGUUUAGAACGUCGUGAGACAGUUCGGUCCCUAUCUGCCGUGGGCGCUGGAGAACUGAGGGGGGCUGCUCCUAGUACGAGAGGACCGGAGUGGACGCAUCACUGGUGUUCGGGUUGUCAUGCCAAUGGCACUGCCCGGUAGCUAAAUGCGGAAGAGAUAAGUGCUGAAAGCAUCUAAGCACGAAACUUGCCCCGAGAUGAGUUCUCCCUGAGACUUAGAGUCUCCUGAAGGAACGUUGAAGACGACGACGUUGAUAGGCCGGGUGUGUAAGCGCAGCGAUCCG